Molecule: non-coding RNA, 811 nt
Organism: Cololabis saira (Pacific saury)
Lineage: Eukaryota; Metazoa; Chordata; Actinopteri; Beloniformes; Belonidae
Source: the annotation of a RefSeq genome assembly
AUGAUGUUUCUAACAACUCUGAUUGUUACGUUGGGUUUUCUGAGUCAGGGGUCUGCUGCCAAUAAUUUUCUGACUCAAGCUGAUAAAUCCAAGUCUGUCAGUGUUGGAGGGACGGUGACCAUCAGCGCCACAGGGAGUUCAAAUAUUGGUCCUGAUCUCAGUUGGUACCUUCAGAAACCUGGACAGCCUCCCAAACCUCUGAUAUAUAAAGCAUCAAGUUUAUUCUCAGGAACACCGUCCAGAUUCAGAGGCAGUAAAUCUGGUUCUGACUACACUUUAACUAUCAGUGGCUUUACAGCUGAAGAUGCUGGAGAUUAUUACUGUCUGGGCCUCCAUAGUGGUGGAUUUGUAUCACUGUGGUGGACUUUUGGUGGAGGAACCAAACUCAUCGCUGACGUGGGUGUGGUGCGGCCCACCCUGACUGUCCUCCCCACCUCCACAGAGCAGGAGCAGCAGACCAGUGUCACACUGGUGUGUCUGGCCAGCGGGGGCUCGCCCUCCACCUGGACUCUGGGCUGGAAGGUGGGGGGCAGCAGCAGGUCUUCAGGGGUGUCCAACAGCCUGGAGGUGGUGGGGGAGGACGGCCUCUGCAGCUGGAGCAGCACCCUGACCCUCCCUGCAGACCAGUGGAGGAAGGCGGGCUCAGUGAGCUGUGAGGCCAGUCUGAGUGGACAGAGCCCCGUCACUCAAACCCUGGACCCUGACGGCUGCUCAGAGUAGAGCUUCAGCAGCACAGCAGCUUCAACAGCUGCUGAUGUUUCUGCUAAAUGAUGCAUCUGCUUUUACUGCGAUAAAUAUGUAUUUUACUCAC